CCCGUUCUCUAGCAGUCCGCUGAGAGGAGAGUAACAGGUUUUGCCGGCCGAGUGGAGUCCCUUCGGACGUCGUUGGGGAGGGUUUAGCUCCUCAGCCUUUCCAGGUGGCACACAAACUGCUGUUUUGCCGUAUCCGGGUACGAGUGGUGAUUAGCGAUUGUAAACAGCUGAUAUCCUAACAUUGUAUGCGUCCCGUGCUCCGGUUUUGUUUCGGGUACUUGCCUACUGUUGUUUUUAUUUAUUUCGAGCGGGGGGUGCCCGAUGUGUGGAGGAAUAGCGUGGGUAUUUUCUUAGAUCAGAUUUUAGCAUGUGGCGUGAUAUUGCAUGAACUGUUUUUAACGCACUUUGUUUUGACGUUGCGUGAGUGAGUUGCUGUGUGUGUGCGUGUGUGUGUGUGUGUGUGUGUUGCAUGUUUAUAGGUUGCACGGGUGAUUAGAUGAACUGGGGGAUUCGCUGUCUCCACACUGACGCUCGCCCCACCGCUGCUGUGUUUAGGGACCCGGGCAAGUACACAGAUUGUUCGUGAUAAACUGUCAGCCAAAUUAGAAUAGGUUUACGGUGUGUGUUUUUUACUGCUGUAAUAAUAAAUUAUUGUUUUGUACCACAAUAUGAUCUCUGUUCCUUGAGUAAACCGAACCUGUAUUGUCCAGUCCGGCUCAAGGACUUCCCCCUCUUAUAAUAAAGAAAAGACCCUGGUGUUAUCCCAGUAGUUAGAAAUAAAUCAGCCCCCCCCCCCCCCUACUUGGUGUCACAUUUGGCGUUGCUGGCAGGACCAAGGACAGAGACAUGUUGCUUAAGCAUUUUUUUUGGAAUGUAUGUUUGUAAAUACCGUGCAGCUGAUUCCUUAUAAGGUCCAUACAAUUGUUGAUAGGCUUGUGUUUGUUGUAUUGUGGAGCAAAAGCAGCAGUUUGUGUGCCGGAGGACCCCUAAGACAACGCUUCCAGCAGUUUUCGGAGAAGACACGGUGUCAUCAUGGACGAGUAGAUGCAAGAACUUCGGGAGAUGGUGCAAAGGUUGAAGGCAGAUAAUGAGCGGCUGUUACAGGAAAGACAGUCCCUAAACCCGGUCCCGGGCUCCUCGACGGCACCUCCCUCUGCCAACGAUGGUAGUCUUGACUCUGCGCAACCACUCGGUACUUUCGGUAUGGAAACCUCUACUAGGUUGCCACCAGUUGUUGAGCGUGUGGUGUACAUUCCCAAGGAUAAGUGUUCCACCUUUACAGGAGAAGGAGACGUAUCGGUGAGGGAAUGGGUGGAUGAGGUGCAGUCAAAAUUUCGCACACGUAGGAUGUCUAUUGUAGAACAGGCCCAUUUCAUUUAUGACCAUUUAGGAGGAGCAGCAAGAGACGAAAUUAAGUAUCGUUCUAGACAGGUUCGGGAAGAUCCCAAACUAAUUUUUUCCAUCCUUCAGACUCAGUAUGGCUGUGCAGACUCACCUAUUGCUCUAUUGCAGAAUUUCCACUCUCGGAAACAGCAAGAAGGGGAGACAUUGCGUGAGUAUGCAAAUGCGCUAUUCUCCCUAAUGGAUAUUGUUAUACAACAUUCUCCUGACGGAGUUGCACAGGCAGCUAGCCUCCUACGCGAUCAAUAUGUUGAGUUCGUGUCGGAUGGCAACCUUAGCCGUGCGCUGAAAGAACUUGUUCGUAUUAACCCCGCCUAUGAUCUCCAUGAUAUCCGUGAUGCAGCCGUCCGAUGGGAGCGAGAAGGCAGACCACGGGAAGGGAGGCCGAGAAGCUAUUCUGUCCCGUCGGUUUAUAGCAUCCAUCAGGGCGCUUCCGUUUAUGCAGUUUUCUAAAACAUUGUCAGCCUUAA
Long non-coding RNA from Gasterosteus aculeatus aculeatus (three-spined stickleback), 1811 nucleotides. Lineage: Eukaryota; Metazoa; Chordata; Actinopteri; Perciformes; Gasterosteidae. The record is from Ensembl.